RNAcentral lists this non-coding RNA (212 nucleotides) under Enterococcus rotai. RNAcentral describes it as "T-box sequence". It matches the Rfam family "T-box leader". From Rfam's summary of the family: Uncharged tRNA acts as the effector for transcription antitermination of genes in the T-box leader family. The record is from RNAcentral. Lineage: Bacteria; Bacillati; Bacillota; Bacilli; Lactobacillales; Enterococcaceae.
UAGUGACAAGCAAAGAGAAAAAGUAUUUAUAGUAAUGAAUCAAAGAGAGUUUGCGGUGGUGAAAGCAAAUAUUCAACUAUAAAGAAGUCCGUCUCUAUUCUAUGCGUUUGACGAAAUAAGCCAAACCGGUGGCAGCCGUUAUCUGCACUACAAGGGCAGCAUCAUGCUGAACUUGGGUGGUACCGCGAAAUUCAAGUCAUUUCGUCCCAAGA